CUAGGUCUCAGUUCAGAUUGCAGGCUGCAACCCGCCUGCAUGAAGUCGGAAUUGCUAGUAAUCGCGGAUCAGCAUGCCGCGGUGAAUACGUUCCCGGGCCUUGUACACACCGCCCGUCACACCAUGGGAGCUGGUAAUACCCGAAGUCAGUAGUCCAACCUCGUGAGGACGCUGCCGAAGGUAGGAUUGGCGACUGGGGUGAAGUCGUAACAAGGUACC
RNAcentral lists this ribosomal RNA (219 nucleotides) under uncultured bacterium. Its description in RNAcentral is "partial 16S ribosomal RNA". It matches the Rfam family "Bacterial small subunit ribosomal RNA", at positions 1281 to 1500 of the family's 1533-position model. The record is from RNAcentral.